Molecule: long non-coding RNA, 2039 nt
Filed under: Gallus gallus (chicken)
Lineage: Eukaryota; Metazoa; Chordata; Aves; Galliformes; Phasianidae
Source: RNAcentral
AGAUUCGAUGCGAUGUGAGUAGCUGUAGCAAACUGAGACUCCACCACUGUGAGCUUUGAGGUACUGUGACCCCCACCAAAUGAAGAUGACUCCUGUCCCUACGGUCACGUAUUUGGAAGGGGGCUGGAACACUUGUUUUAUCCAAUUGUCUAGCAGGCUGCAUUCUGAUUUGUUUGGGGCAUUAGUGGUGCUCCCUGAAUGACUUAUUUCUAGUCUCUGAUCUCAGAGCUCUGAAAAUUUAUCUAUCUGUACUUCCCUUAGGAUUCCUGUCAGUCCCUUGGCUUGUGAAGAACAAAGGCUUUACAAUGGCCUCCUGCUGUAUUUGCUUCAGCAUUAUGAGUUGCUUUUUGUUGAUGUGAACCCUUGUUUCUCACCAAGACAAGCAGAUGGCCUCCAGGAAAUGACUUGAGAGACAUGUAGUAGUAAGGCCUGCAGUCUCAUACUACAUCGUGAAGUUACCACGCAUCCUGGCAGGUCACGCCUAGAUGAUUGGAAGGGUAACAGAUCACGUCAAGUAUUAUUGAAUAGAUUUAAAUUGUAUGUAAUUGAAGCUCACGAUUCUAAUGUUUGUGACUCCUUUCUUUUUGGCUUCCUUCUUAAUUGUCUGCGUUAAGGAAAAGUCAGCAGACUUUUAUAGUGCUAAGUCAGUUCAUAUGCGGAGCAUGUUCUAUAUCUGCAAGGAGAAUAUUGGGACUGUCAUUCUUCUUGGAAUACCUCUCUCAAAAAAAAAAAAAAAAAAAUCCUGAAAAAUUCUGUAUAAUCGUAGGUACAGAGAACAGAAGGCACCAAUGCAAGGAUGUUUAUAAAAUGAUUCCAAAUCCAAAACCCUAGUCAACUCACGUAGAUGGCACUGAAGCACACACUUCUACCUUUCAUCAUACUCUCCUAUGUCACUGCUAUCUUUGAGAAUCCCUGAAACAUGUACUCAAAUGAGUGUGCAAGACCAUCCAACUGUAUCUGCUUCUGCUCACAGUAACUAUGUAUUCUUACAGUAGCAAGAGGAAAUUGGAAAGGUAUUGAAAAAGUCAAGAGACUUGGCAUUCUAUUUCAGUGACUUUGUUUUAGAAGGAACUUCACUCCCUGUAAUUCUGCAAAAUGUCACAGUCUGUCUGGGCUUGUGGUGAUGUGGUAAAGAAUCUUGCUGAAAAAAAGUCCUUUCAAGUUCUUUAAUAAAAGCCCAGACGAUGCAUAGCCAUGAGGCACUCUCCUGCUCUGAGGUAAGCUUAUGGAAGAAAUCCCAUUCGUGGUGAGAAGCGAAUUCAGAAUUCUGUUGUUGAUCUUGUUUUUGUAAUUUCUGGCAGGAAAUCUUGUGUAUUGGAUAGGUACCCUUCAUCUCUCAUAAUAUAACAAUUGCUGAAAGUCCACUGCAUGAGAAACAUGAAAGUUAGGUUUACAAAGUAAACAUAUUCAACGUGCAUGAACUAGUUCCAGCAAAGCAAGCAAAAAGUAAAACAGCAAACGUGGCUCAGAUCCCUUAUUGCUUCCUGGAAAUGAAGCUUGCUUUUAUUGGCUGUUUCUCUUGAAGUAACUUGAAACAAUUACACUGAUGUCUGCAUUUUCAGCUAUUUAAUUUGAGGGAUCUUUUUAUUGUUGUUGGGGUGUGCUUUUUGUAGAAGAUUGCACCAUAGAAGCUAAUUAAAUUCUGUAUCAAACCUUGCUAGUAGUGAUUUGUCAUGCUCUUUGUCAUCAUCAUUUCCAAAUCUCAUGUUCUGGAUUAAGAAAUGACUGGAUUUUUUUAUUUAUUUAUUUCGCAUCAAGUUCUAGAGUGCUUUUUCAUAUCUCAUCUCUCUACUGAAGCAUGAUAGAUCAAUCCUGUCUGAAUUAAGCAAUCAGAAGCAUGACUUUUUGGAUGUGUGCAUACCACUACAUCCCAUCCUUCAGUUAAUUAGAAGAAAAGCUAGCACUCUGAGGAAAUAACUCUCAUUUCUUGUUUUCUCUUCUUCCUAUGUCCUUUUAUGUAUGCUUCUCUUCUUAUCAGCAAGGCUGCAGAGACUAUGUAGUUACUCCACUCUGCCAUAGUGGAGCCCUACCGAAUAGAG